This 1632-nucleotide ribosomal RNA is filed under the name uncultured eukaryote. RNAcentral describes it as "SSU rRNA". It matches the Rfam family "Eukaryotic small subunit ribosomal RNA", at positions 569 to 1463 of the family's 1831-position model. The record is from RNAcentral.
AGCAGCCGCGGUAAUACCAGCUCCACUGGCCUAUACAAUCAUUGUUGCGGUUAAGAGGCUCGUAGUUGGAUUGAACUGCAAUCUUAUUCUUGAAUGAAUAUAUUGCGCUAUAGUUUUUAUCGCACACACAUUUUCUUGUGUCCGUGCGUUCGACGCUGUUAACUCAGGUUUUCACGACGGCACCGUUGCAUAUAUAUGUUACUCACACACACACACUCGACGUAUAUAUUUAUGCUCGGCACACGUAAUACUAUACCACUCACAAUUUAUUCUCCUUUUCAACACUGUGAACAAAUCAGAGUGUAUCAAACAUGUCGUUUUUGAAUGUGCAUUGAAUGUCUUAUCAUGGGAUGUUGCACUUUCGCCAUUAGGAAAAAAUUUGCAUUGCGCUAUUUUUCUCUAUACACACACACUUACGACGUACAUGUCACUUUACGCACAGCCAUGUGUUAAAGCUGUUUUUUCUUAACGGUUAAAAAUGUCGAUGGGGAUAGUUGGAGUCAACAGUACUGCUGGGCGAGAGGUGAAAUUCAUUGACCCUAGCAAGACUACCAAAAGCGAAAGCAGUUGGCUAGGCUAUACUCUUUGUGAUUAUAUGCCAUACCCACAAUUUACACCGUGUAGCUUACACACACACACACACUCGGCGGCACAUGUAAUUUUUACGUAUCGGCACUAUAUACACUUUACAAUGAAGAACGAAAGUUGGGGGAUCAAAGAGGAUCAGAUACCCUCGUCGUCCCAUUAAUUACAUCAAACGAUGGGCUCUCAAUUGCAUUUUUCAUUAAAUUUGCAAAUUUCCUCAGCCUACAAAAUGACUUGGCUUUGAGCUCGUAUUUUUAAUACGCUCGCCUAAAUUUUUUUUCGUAUGGUCUCGAUGGACGUUUCAUUUAAAAUUUUUUUGCGUGUAAGCAUUUGUUAUUCUUUGAAACAUAAGAAUGCAUUGCGUGCACUUGAUUUUCGGAGCUUUGCGCUCAAUUCUGGUGAGAUGUAAGCACUAUGUCAUACUGCCCGCAGCGUAUAUCUUCGGGUAUUUCGUCUGUCGUGUGCAGUUGACAAUUUUGGUGUGAAGCACGCUUUAGGCACGCGCUUACUGCAGAAAUGUCUGAGACAUUCCCUUCCGGGGGAAGUAUGUACGCAAGUAUGAAACUUGAAGGAAUUGACGGAAGGGCACCACAAGAACGCGUGGAGCAUGUGGCUUAAUUUGACUCAACGCGGGAAAUCUUACCGGGUCCGGACACACUGAGGAUUGACAGGCAAUAUUAAUUUCUGCCAUUCGUGGCGUUUUUAUGUUAAAUAUGCUAGUCCUUUCAUGAUUAUGUGAUAGGUGGUGCAUGGCCGUUCUUAGUUCGUGGAGUGAUCUGUCUGCUUAAUUGCGUUUCACUAAGGGCCUAUAAUUUAACGUGUGUUGCGGCACUUUGACCCCUCCUCGGAGCGUGUGUCUUAGCUUGUUUAGCUCACACAAUUAGGUCCUGAAAGCAACGAACGUGACCGCAACCUCUUGUUGCCUUUAUACCAAACACGUUUUGUUUCUCUUCACAGAGCAUGCAUUUCGUGAAAAAAGGCUUUUUAAACUAGAGGGACCGCUGUUACUUUCUUAAACCAGAGGAAGGUUGCGGCAAUAACAGGUCU